GUGCUCGCUUCGGCAGCACAUAUACUAAAGU
Molecule: small nuclear RNA, 31 nt
Filed under: Cervus elaphus hippelaphus
Lineage: Eukaryota; Metazoa; Chordata; Mammalia; Artiodactyla; Cervidae
Source: RNAcentral